GUCCCAGUAGCGCAAUGAUAGCGCGUUGGACCUCUAAUCCAAAGAUCGUGGGUUCGAAACCGACCUGGGAGG
This is a non-coding RNA of Trichonephila clavata, 72 nucleotides long. NCBI's taxonomy places the organism in Eukaryota, Metazoa, Arthropoda, Arachnida, Araneae, Nephilidae. The record is from the annotation of a GenBank genome assembly.